UACAGAGGUCCCGAGCGUUGUUCGGAUUCAUUGGGCGUAAAGGGCGUGUAGGCGGUAAGGAAAGUCAGAUGUGAAAUCCCCAGGCUCAACCUGGGAACUGCAUUUGAAACUCCCUUUCUUGAGUACCGGAGAGGAAAGUGGAAUUCCUGGUGUAGAGGUGAAAUUCGUAGAUAUCAGGAGGAACACCAGUGGCGAAGGCGGCUUUCUGGACGGUAACUGACGCUGAGACGCGAAAGCGUGGGGAGCAAACAGG
Molecule: ribosomal RNA, 253 nt
Filed under: uncultured bacterium
Lineage: Bacteria
Description: partial 16S ribosomal RNA
Rfam family: Bacterial small subunit ribosomal RNA
Source: RNAcentral